This 253-nucleotide ribosomal RNA is filed under the name uncultured bacterium. RNAcentral describes it as "partial 16S ribosomal RNA". It matches the Rfam family "Bacterial small subunit ribosomal RNA", at positions 524 to 776 of the family's 1533-position model. The record is from RNAcentral.
UACAGAGGUCCCAAGCGUUGUUCGGAAUCACUGGGCGUAAAGCGUUUGUAGGCGGCUUUGUAAGUUAGCUGUGAAAGCCUGGGGCCUAACCCCAGAAGUGCAUCUAAUACUGCAGAGCUUGAGUAUGAGAGAGGAAGAUGGAAUACCUGGUGUAGUGGUGAAAUACGUAGAUAUCAGGUGGAACAUCGGUGGCGAAAGCGGUCUUCUGGCUCAAUACUGACGCUGAAAAACGAAAGCGUGGGGAUCAAACAGG